RNAcentral lists this long non-coding RNA (324 nucleotides) under Aotus nancymaae (Ma's night monkey). Its description in RNAcentral is "lncRNA (ENSANAG00000039300.1)". The record is from RNAcentral. Lineage: Eukaryota; Metazoa; Chordata; Mammalia; Primates; Aotidae.
AGGUGGGGGUGUUGGUGAAGGUUUUACUAUUAUUGCAGAAUUAUCUGAAGUGCAAUUUCUAACGCUGACCAAAUUCAUGCUGUGACUGUGGAAACUGGUGCUCGAGGUCCCUGCAAAUGAUAGAGGUAGUCCUGUUUCAAAACGCCAUCAAGCAUCCUUCUGAGCUGCGGACAGUCAUCGGACCAGUCUUCAGCCGUGCGCAUGACAGCAGCAGUGACAGCACACCACUUUGCUCAUGAUACGGAUCAAGAGAAGAAGGAAAACACAACGGAGCACAAGAAACGCAUUUACAAUGCAAGGUUUCCCAGGAGCACGGACUCUUAA